This 496-nucleotide ribosomal RNA is filed under the name uncultured bacterium. RNAcentral's name for it is "partial 16S ribosomal RNA". It matches the Rfam family "Bacterial small subunit ribosomal RNA", at positions 29 to 507 of the family's 1533-position model. The record is from RNAcentral.
AUGAACGCUGGCGGCGUGCCUAAUACAUGCAAGUCGAGCGAACAGACGAGGAGUUUGCUCCUCUGACGUUAGCGGCGGACGGGUGAGUAACACGUGGAUAACCUACCUAUAAGACUGGGAUAACUUCGGGAAACCGGAGCUAAUACCGGAUAAUAUAUUGAACCGCAUGGUUCAAUAGUGAAAGACGGUUUUGCUGUCACUUAUAGAUGGAUCCGCGCCGCAUUAGCUAGUUGGUAAGGUAACGGCUUACCAAGGCAACGAUGCGUAGCCGACCUGAGAGGGUGAUCGGCCACACUGGAACUGAGACACGGUCCAGACUCCUACGGGAGGCAGCAGUAGGGAAUCUUCCGCAAUGGGCGAAAGCUUGACGGAGCAACGCCGCGUGAGUGAUGAAGGUCUUCGGAUCGUAAAACUCUGUUAUUAGGGAAGAACAAAUGUGUAAGUAACUAUGCACGUCUUGACGGUACCUAAUCAGAAAGCCACGGCUAACUACGUG